This 738-nucleotide ribosomal RNA is filed under the name Vibrio rotiferianus. RNAcentral describes it as "bacterial SSU rRNA". It matches the Rfam family "Bacterial small subunit ribosomal RNA", at positions 86 to 829 of the family's 1533-position model. Lineage: Bacteria; Pseudomonadati; Pseudomonadota; Gammaproteobacteria; Vibrionales; Vibrionaceae. The record is from RNAcentral.
UAGGCGCGAGCGGCGGACGGGUGAGUAAUGCCUAGGAAAUUGCCCUGAUGUGGGGGAUAACCAUUGGAAACGAUGGCUAAUACCGCAUAAGCCUACGGGCCAAAGAGGGGGACCUUCGGGCCUCUCGCGUCAGGAUAUGCCUAGGUGGGAUUAGCUAGUUGGUGAGGUAUGGCUCACCAAGGCGACGAUCCCUAGCUGGUCUGAGAGGAUGAUCAGCCACACUGGAACUGAGACACGGUCCAGACUCCUACGGGAGGCAGCAGUGGGGAAUAUUGCACAAUGGGCGCAAGCCUGAUGCAGCCAUGCCGCGUGUGUGAAGAAGGCCUUCGGGUUGUAAAGCACUUUCAGUCGUGAGGAAGGUGGUGUAGUUAAUAGCUGCAUUAUUUGACGUUAGCGACAGAAGAAGCACCGGCUAACUCCGUGCCAGCAGCCGCGGUAAUACGGAGGGUGCGAGCGUUAAUCGGAAUUACUGGGCGUAAAGCGCAUGCAGGUGGUUUGUUAAGUCAGAUGUGAAAGCCCGGGGCUCAACCUCGGAAUAGCAUUUGAAACUGGCAGACUAGAGUACUGUAGAGGGGGGUAGAAUUUCAGGUGUAGCGGUGAAAUGCGUAGAGAUCUGAAGGAAUACCGGUGGCGAAGGCGGCCCCCUGGACAGAUACUGACACUCAGAUGCGAAAGCGUGGAGCAACAGUUAGAUACCCUGGUAGUCCACGCCGUAAAAUGUCUACUUGGAGGUUGGGC